RNAcentral lists this ribosomal RNA (1126 nucleotides) under Bantia sp. 2 JMR-2016. RNAcentral describes it as "SSU rRNA". It matches the Rfam family "Eukaryotic small subunit ribosomal RNA", at positions 83 to 1140 of the family's 1831-position model. Lineage: Eukaryota; Metazoa; Arthropoda; Insecta; Mantodea; Thespidae. The record is from RNAcentral.
UGAACCGCGAAUGGCUCAUUAAAUCAGUUAUGGUUCCUUAGAUGAUGCACACCUACAUGGAUAACUGUGGUAAUUCUAGAGCUAAUACAUGCAACUCGGUCCCGACCGGCGACGGAAGGGACGCUUUUAUUAGAUCAAAACCAAUCGGUCUUCGGGCCGUUUGCCUUGGUGACUCUGAAUAAAUUGUGGCAGAUCGCACGGCCCCCGAGCCGGCGACGCAUCUUUCAAAUGUCUGCCUUAUCAACUGUCGAUGGUAGGUUCUGCGCCUACCAUGGUUGUAACGGGUAACGGGGAAUCAGGGUUCGAUUCCGGAGAGGGAGCCUGAGAAACGGCUACCACAUCCAAGGAAGGCAGCAGGCGCGCAAAUUACCCACUCCCGGCACGGGGAGGUAGUGACGAAAAAUAACGAUACGGGACUCAUCCGAGGCCCCGUAAUCGGAAUGAGUACACUUUAAAUCCUUUAACGAGUAUCAAUUGGAGGGCAAGUCUGGUGCCAGCAGCCGCGGUAAUUCCAGCUCCAAUAGCGUAUAUUAAAGUUGUUGCGGUUAAAAAGCUCGUAGUCGGACUUGUGUCCCACGCUGCCGGUUCACCGCUCGUCGGUGUCUAACUGGCAUGCACGUGUGGACGUCCUGCCGGUGGCCCGAUCCGGCGCGGGUUUCGCACCUGUCGUCCGGGGAAGGCCUAUCAUACCCGUCGCGGUGCUCUUAACCGAGUGUCUCGAUGGGCCGGCACGUUUACUUUGAACAAAUUAGAGUGCUUAAAGCAGGCAGCAUCCGCCUGAAUACCGAGUGCAUGGAAUAAUGGAAUAGGACCUCGGUUCUAUUUUGUUGGUUUUCGGAAUCCCCGAGGUAAUGAUCAAUAGGGACAGACGGGGCAUUCGUAUUGCGACCUUGAAGGUGAAAUUCUUGGAUCGUCACAGGACGGACCGAAGCCAAAGCAUUUGCCAAGAAUGUUUUCUCUGAUCAAGAACGAAAGUUAGAGGUUCGAAGGCGAUCAGAUACCGCCCUAGUUCUAACCAUAAACAAUGCCAGCCAGCAAUCCGCCAAAGUUCCUCCGAUGACUCGGCGGGCGGCUUCCGGGAAACCAAAGCUUUUGGGUUCCGGGGGAAGUAUGGUUGCAAAGCUGA